AUGCUGAUCCACGUCGACCGGGUGGAAGAUUGGACGCCUCUCUCCCCGCGCUCCUCCCACUCUGGCCAGAGUGGGCUGCUGUCAUCUGACUCCGAUGGCGACGACCGGCCGUUCCCCAUGGUGGCCCCGGGCACUUGGACCAUGGAGGUGGAGGAUGGCCAGCGUGCUGAGCGCCAGCAGCGCCUGGCUCGUGCCCCGGUGGCGGACCUGGGUUGCCGCGGCAUGCUGCGGGGCGGCCCUGGCCGCGAUCAAGAUGGAGCGGGUGGCAGCGGUGGCGGCGGGCGCCGCUCCUGGAAGGACACCUUGCUGCGCCGCGGACGCACCCCGGCCCCGCAGACACAGCCUACUGCCCCUCGCCGGCGGAGCCGCUCCCCCCCUGCGAAACGCCGCUCCAAGGGCCCGAGAGGGCGGCGCCAUGAUGAUAGGAGAUCAUCGAUGGCACCGCAGCGUCGCGACGAUCGGAGGCGCUCCACCCCACCACCUCCCCCUCCGCCCCCUGCACCAGCCGGCUCCGGCAAAAAUGGCAAGGACCCGGUGGAGGAUUUCUUCAAGCAGGCGAAGAGGCCACUAGUCGCCUCUGUGGUGGUGGACUGCAUGGCGGCUGACGUGCAGGCGGUGGCUGAUGCUGCUGUCGUUGCACCGCUGGACUUCAACGACGGCCAGCAGGUAGAAGAGGGGGGGCCGGUGGCACAGCCAGAUGCGUUCGGCCCCACGCUGUCUGGCCCUCCGCCGCCCAUCGGCCAGUUCAACCGCCACGCCCCUGCUUCGGCGCGCACCAUGGAGCUCCAGCUGGGCGCGGUGACAAGCCGCGUCUGUCAGCUGGAGAUCACUGAAGCUGAAGCUGAUGAAAGCACCGAGCCGCGCCGCCUCUUCCGCAAGACCCAGGCCCCGCUCGUUGCUUCAUCGCCGACACGCAGGCCAUCGGCUCCUCCAAAGUCCCGUGCUGAGUCGGUGCCUUCCCGCCAGAGCGCACGUCAGGCAGCCCUCGCGUCAUCGGUGCCGGUGGCGCAGCGUGCUUCCCUGCGCAUUGUCAAGGAGCUGGGGCUGCUGGGACCAAAGCAGAAGAUGUCACCAGAGGUGGCUGAGGCACUGAUCCGGCGUUUCGAUGAGCCCCUGACAGACAACGACAUUGCUGUCAUUGCCAAGCUCACGCGUCUGGACGUAAGUGCUUUGCGUGUCGCAGCUGCCAUGGCUGGACCUGAAGGAGCUGCCGAGGAGGCCGUAGUUUAG
Molecule: ribosomal RNA, 1230 nt
Filed under: Triticum aestivum (bread wheat)
Lineage: Eukaryota; Viridiplantae; Streptophyta; Magnoliopsida; Poales; Poaceae
Description: partial small subunit ribosomal RNA
Source: RNAcentral